AAAUUGAAGAGUUUGAUCAUGGCUCAGAUUGAACGCUGGCGGCAGGCCUAACACAUGCAAGUCGAACGGUAACAGGAAGCAGCUUGCUGCUUCGCUGACGAGUGGCGGACGGGUGAGUAAUGUCUGGGAAACUGCCUGAUGGAGGGGGAUAACUACUGGAAACGGUAGCUAAUACCGCAUAAUGUCGCAAGACCAAAGAGGGGGACCUUCGGGCCUCUUGCCAUCGGAUGUGCC
This 234-nucleotide ribosomal RNA is filed under the name Escherichia coli. Its description in RNAcentral is "partial 16S ribosomal RNA". It matches the Rfam family "Bacterial small subunit ribosomal RNA", at positions 1 to 231 of the family's 1533-position model. Lineage: Bacteria; Pseudomonadati; Pseudomonadota; Gammaproteobacteria; Enterobacterales; Enterobacteriaceae. The record is from RNAcentral. RNAcentral also lists the same sequence under 1 other name.